GACGAACGCUGGCGGCGUGCUUAACACAUGCAAGUCGAACGGAAAGGCCCUGCUUUUGUGGGGUGCUCGAGUGGCGAACGGGGGAGUAACACGUGAGUAACCUGCCCUUGACUUUGGGAUAACUUCAGGAAACUGGGGCUAAUACCGGAUAGGAUCUCCUGCUGCAUGGUGGGGGGUGGAAAGUUUCGGCGGUUGGGGAUGGAUUAGCGGCUUAUCAGCUUGUUGGUGGGGUAGGGGCUUACCAAGGCUUUGGCGGGUAGCCGGCCUGAGAGGGUGACCGGCCACAUGGGGACUGAGAUACGGCCCAGACUCCUACGGGAGGCAGCAGUGGGGAAUAUUGCACAAUGGGCGGAAGCCUGAUGCAGCAGCGCCGCGGGCGGGAUGACGGCCUUCGGGUUGUAAACCGCUUUAGCCUGUGACGAAGCGUGAGUGACGGUAAUGGGUAAAGAAGCACCGGCUAACUACGUG
This 468-nucleotide ribosomal RNA is filed under the name uncultured bacterium. RNAcentral describes it as "partial 16S ribosomal RNA". It matches the Rfam family "Bacterial small subunit ribosomal RNA", at positions 28 to 507 of the family's 1533-position model. The record is from RNAcentral.